GAUGAACGCUGGCGGCGUGCCUAAUACAUGCAAGUCGAACGCUGGAAAUCUAGCUUGCUAGAUUGAAGGAGUGGCGAACGGGUGAGUAAUACAUAAGCAACCUACCCACGAAGACUGGGAUAAUCUCUGGAAACGGGGACUAUUACCGGAUAGGUAAUCGGAAGGCAUCUUCUGAUUAUUAAAGGUUAAAAACACUGGUGGAUGGGCUUAUGGCGCAUUAGUUAGUUGGUGAGGUAACGGCCCACCAAGACGAUGAUGCGUAGCCGGCCUGAGAGGGUGAACGGCCACAUUGGGACUGAGACACGGCCCAGACUCCUACGGGAGGCAGCAGUAGGGAAUUUUCGGCAAUGGGGGAAACCCUGACCGAGCAACGCCGCGUGAGUGAUGACGGCCUUCGGGUUGUAAAGCUCUGUUGUAAGGGAAGAACGGUAGGUAGAGAAUAUCUAAAUGACGGUACCUUACCAGAAAGCCACGGCUAACUACGUG
Molecule: ribosomal RNA, 486 nt
Filed under: uncultured bacterium
Lineage: Bacteria
Description: partial 16S ribosomal RNA
Rfam family: Bacterial small subunit ribosomal RNA
Source: RNAcentral